AAACUCCUACGGGAGGCAGCAGUAAGGAAUUUUCGGCAAUGGAGGCAACUCUGACCGAGCAACGCCGCGUGAACGAUGAAGUACUUCGGUAUGUAAAGUUCUUUUAUCAAAGAAGAAAAGCAAAUGGCGAACCAUUUGUCUGCCGGUAUUUGAUGAAUAAGCCCCGGCUAAUUAUGUGCCAGCAGCCGCGGUAAGACAUAAGGGGCAAGUGUUAUCCGGAAUUAUUGGGCGUAAAGGGUGCGUAGGCGGCAGAGUAAGUCAGUGGUGUAAUGGUAACGCUUAACGUUGUCAGGCUAUUGAAACUGCUUUGCUAGAGUUGGAUAGAGGCGAGUGGAAUUCCAUGUGUAGCGGUAAAAUGCGUAAAUAUAUGGAGGAACACCAGAGGCGUAGGCGGCUCGCUGGGUCUUAACUGACGCUGAGGCACGAAAGCGUGGGGAGCAAACAGGAUUAGAUACCCUGGUAGUCCACGCCGUAAACGAUGAGUACUAAGUGUCGGGUCAAAACCGGUACUGAAGUUAACACAUUAAGUACUCCGCCUGAGUAGUACGUACGCAAGUAUGAAACUUAAAGGAAUUGACGGGACUCCGCACAAGCGGUGGAUCAUGUUGUUUAAUUCGAAGAUACCCGAAAAACCUUACCAGGUCUUGACAUGUUCUUGCGAAACGGUAGUAAUAUCGUGGAGGUUACCAGGAACACAGGUGGCGCAUGGUUGUCGUCAGCUCGUGUCGUGAGAUGUUAGGUUAAGUCCUAAAACGAGCGAAACCCUUAUCGUUAGUUGCCAGCACGUUAUGGUGGGGACUUUAACGAGACUGCCAAUGAUAAAUUGGAGGAAGGUGAGGAUCACGUCAAAUCAGCAUGCCCCUUAUGACCUGGGCUACAAACGUGAUACAAUGGCUGCUACAAAGGGUAGCUGAAA
RNAcentral lists this ribosomal RNA (916 nucleotides) under Cassava witches'-broom aster yellows phytoplasma. RNAcentral's name for it is "bacterial SSU rRNA". It matches the Rfam family "Bacterial small subunit ribosomal RNA", at positions 333 to 1255 of the family's 1533-position model. The record is from RNAcentral. Lineage: Bacteria; Bacillati; Mycoplasmatota; Mollicutes; Acholeplasmatales; Acholeplasmataceae.